AUGGCUUCUAGUACUUUGAACACAUCACCUCAAAGUAACCUCUUUGGAAGAUUAGCGGAAAGAAGCAAAACUCUGAAGACCUUGGUUCACGAUAUCCAUCUUGUGCUAACUACGUGUCAGAUGGCUUUUGAGGUGAUGGGGCUGUAUUGGUUAACAAAGUCCUGGCCUUCAUGCAACUUACAGUCUACUAACGGGAGCUCAUGUGACAUCAGCAAGGAAAUGCACUUAGUCCUUUGUAUCUGUGAGUUCUGCAUCUGCUGAUUCAACCAGCCACGAGUCAAAAAUAUUUGCAAAAAAAGCCCUUUAAAUUGUAUUGAACAUGUACAAUUUGUUUUCUUUUUAUUUUUCUCUAAAUGACACAGUAUAACAACGAUUUGCAUAGCAUUUACAUUGUAGUAUAUGUUACCAGUAAUCUAGAGAUGAUUUAAAGUAUAGGGAGAACGUGCAUAGGUUACGCUGAAUACUACACCAUUGCAUGUCAGGGACUUGAGUGCUAGGGACUCUGGUAUCUGGGGGAGGUCCUGGAACCAAUUGCUCAUAAAUACUGAUGGAUGACUGUAUGUUGUAUCUUGAUGCAAUGAAUAAACAAAGCAGAUAACAGUAACUGACAAGCGGUAGAAGGUGAGGGAAAAUGAAGGGGUUGCUAUUUACGUGUUUAUAUGGGAUGAUCAGGGCAGACCCCACAGAGGGGAUAUUUAACAGAAACUGAAAGUAUGGGAAGCAGUCCUGAGAACAUGUAGACCAAGAGAGCUCGGUGUGGCCACGGGAAGGGACUGGUCAGAUCUCGUGGCCCCUGGGGACUGGGUGACUAUUAGCUGCUAGCCAAAAGCCGGCUGCCGCCCUGAAAUCUACCACUGUCAGCCAGUAACCAAGCAUGGCAGGGUAUAAAGGCA
Molecule: long non-coding RNA, 893 nt
Filed under: Papio anubis (olive baboon)
Lineage: Eukaryota; Metazoa; Chordata; Mammalia; Primates; Cercopithecidae
Description: lncRNA (ENSPANG00000038661.1)
Source: RNAcentral